RNAcentral lists this ribosomal RNA (758 nucleotides) under uncultured bacterium. RNAcentral's name for it is "bacterial SSU rRNA". It matches the Rfam family "Bacterial small subunit ribosomal RNA", at positions 747 to 1502 of the family's 1533-position model. The record is from RNAcentral.
UCAUGCACGAAAGCGUGGGUAGCAAACAGGAUUAGAUACCCUGGUAGUCCACGCCCUAAACGAUGUCAACUAGGUGUUGGGGUGGGUAAAACCAUUUAGUACCGGAGCUAACGCGUGAAGUUGACCGCCUGGGGAGUACGGCCGCAAGGUUAAAACUCAAAGGAAUUGACGGGGACCCGCACAAGCGGUGGAUGAUGUGGAUUAAUUCGAUGCAACGCGAAAAACCUUACCUACCCUUGACAUGUCCAGAAGCUCUUAGAGAUUUGAGUGUGCCCGAAAGGGAACUGGAACACAGGUGCUGCAUGGCUGUCGUCAGCUCGUGUCGUGAGAUGUUGGGUUAAGUCCCGCAACGAGCGCAACCCUUGUCGUUAAUUGCCAUCAUUCAGUUGGGCACUUUAACGAGACUGCCGGUGACAAACCGGAGGAAGGUGGGGAUGACGUCAAGUCCUCAUGGCCCUUAUGGGUAGGGCUUCACACGUCAUACAAUGGUCGGUACAAAGGGUUGCCAACCCGCGAGGGGGAGCUAAUCCCAGAAAGCCGAUCGUAGUCCGGAUCGUAGGCUGCAACUCGCCUGCGUGAAGUCGGAAUCGCUAGUAAUCGUGGAUCAGCAUGUCACGGUGAAUACGUUCCCGGGUCUUGUACACACCGCCCGUCACACCAUGGGAGCGGGUUCCGCCAGAAGUAGGUAGCCUAACCGCAAGGAGGGCGCUUACCACGGCGGGGUUCGUGACUGGGGUGAAGUCGUAACAAGGUAGCCG